UGCUGGCUUCAGGAGUAUUAUAAAAUGCGAACAAUACAGAGAAGAUUAGCAUAGCCCCUGCCCCAAAAUGAUGUGCAAACUCACAAAGUGUUUCAUUUAAAA
This is a small nuclear RNA of Artibeus jamaicensis (Jamaican fruit-eating bat), 102 nucleotides long. The record is from RefSeq and is a predicted model, not a curated record. Lineage: Eukaryota; Metazoa; Chordata; Mammalia; Chiroptera; Phyllostomidae.